UAGAGGUAGAUAAUUAUGCAGAAAUAGAAGAGGUUGACACCCACUUUAUUGAAGAACAUGGAAGCCAUCUGGCCCAUCUCCACUCUUUCUGUGAUUUCAAAGAUAUUUGGUGAUCCGCGUCUCUGAACUGACAGGAUAGGUCGUGUCUCUGCUCGCUCAUAGCUGUCUCGGAGGAGAACAUCACUGUCAGACACUCCAGAGGAAGAAUCUUCAUCCUCAUCAUCCUCCUUGCGUUUUUC
Molecule: long non-coding RNA, 239 nt
Filed under: Gallus gallus (chicken)
Lineage: Eukaryota; Metazoa; Chordata; Aves; Galliformes; Phasianidae
Source: RNAcentral